This is a non-coding RNA of Diceros bicornis minor, 1506 nucleotides long. The record is from the annotation of a RefSeq genome assembly. Lineage: Eukaryota; Metazoa; Chordata; Mammalia; Perissodactyla; Rhinocerotidae.
CUCUCCUCCGUCCUCGCAGUCUCCAGACAGACGCCAUCCGUCUUCCCUUUGGCCGCCUGCUGCAAAGACACUGUCACCGCCUCCGUGACAGUGGGCUGCCUGGUCACGGGCUACUUCCCAGAGCUGCUGACCGUGACCUGGGACACAGGGUCCCUGAACCAGAGAACCGUGACCUUCCCUGCCAUCCUCGACCCAGCCUCUGGCCUCUACACCACCACCAGCCAGGUGACCGCCUCAGGCGAGUGGGCCAAGCAGAAGUUCACCUGCAGCGUGGCACACUUGGAGACCCUCAUCAAAAACAGCGUCACCGGGUGCACCGUGGCCUACACCUCACCCACCGUGAAGCUGUUCCACUCCUCCUGCGACCCCCGCGGCGACUCCCACACCAGGAUCCAGCUCCUGUGCCUCAUCUCCAACUACACCCCUGGUCACAUCAACGUCACUUGGCUGGUGGACGGGCAGGAGAACAAGGACCUGUUCACGCACACUGCCCCCGCCAAGCAGGAGGGCGAGCUGGCCUCCACACGCAGCGAGCUCAACAUCACCCAGCGCCAGUGGGAGUCCCAAAAGACAUACACUUGCCAGGUCACCUACCGAGGCAUGACCUUUAUGGACCAGGCCCGCAUGUGCACAGAGUCUGAUCCCCGCGGCGUGAGCGUCUACCUGAUCCCCCCUAGCCCACUCGACCUGUACGUCCACAAGUCACCCAAGGUCACCUGCCUGGUGGUAGACCUAGCCAACAAGGAGAAGUUACACAUCACCUGGUCCCGGGAGAGCGGGAACCCCGUGCAGAAGGACACAAUGGUCGCCAGUGAACAGUUUAACAAGACAUUCUCCGCCACAUCCACCCUGCCUGUGGACACCACCGACUGGAUCGAGGGCGAGACCUACAGGUGCACGGUGACCCACCCAGACCUGCCCAAGCCCAUCGUGCACUCCAUCCUCAAGGCCUCUGGCAAGCGUGCUCCCCCCGAGGUCUACGUGUUCCCGCCACCCAAGAAGGAGGAGGAGACCAAGAACAAGGUCACCCUCACCUGCCUGAUCCAGAACUUCUUCCCCUCGGACAUCUCCGUACAGUGGCUGCGUAAUGAUGUCCUAAUUCAGACAGACCAGCAAGCCACCACCCGGCCCCAGAAGGCCAACGGCCCCAGCCCAGCCUUCUUCGUCUUCAGCCGCCUGGAGGUCAGCUGGGCAGACUGGGAGCUGAAGAACGAAUUCACCUGCCGAGUGGUCCACGAGGCGCUGCCUGGCUCUAGGACCCUCGACGUACAAGUGUCCAAAGACCGUGAGCUGGACCUGCAGGACCUGUGCGUGGAGGGGGCUGAGAGCGAAGAGAUGGAAGGGCUGUGGACCAGUCUCUUCAUUUUCAUCGCGCUCUUUCUGCUCAGCGUCAGCUACAGUGCCACCGUCACCCUCUUCAAGGUGAAGUGGGUCUUCGCCGCCAUCCUGCAGGAGAAGCCCCAGACCGUUCACGACUACACGAACGUCAUGCAGCCAGCAGCCUAG